This 459-nucleotide ribosomal RNA is filed under the name uncultured bacterium. RNAcentral describes it as "partial 16S ribosomal RNA". It matches the Rfam family "Bacterial small subunit ribosomal RNA", at positions 338 to 795 of the family's 1533-position model. The record is from RNAcentral.
CCUACGGGAGGCUGCAGUGAGGAAUAUUGGUCACUGGCCGGAAGGCUGAACCAGCCAAGCCGCGUGAGGGACGAAGGUGCCAUGCAUUGUAAACUUCUUUUGUCAAGGGACAAAAUCCGGCUCGUGACCCGCACCGAGGGUACCUGCAGAAAAAGCAUCGGCUAACUCCGUGCCAGCAGCCGCGGUAAUACGGAGGAUGCGAGCGUUAUCCGGAUUUAUUGGGUUUAAAGGGUGCGUAGGCGGCCUUUUAAGUCAGCGGUAAAAGGCCGGGGCUCAACCCCGACGAGCCGUUGAAACGGGCUGGCUUGAGUGGGCGGGAGGUAUGCGGAAUGCGCGGUGGAGCGGUGAAAUGCAUAGAUAGCACGAAGAACUCCGAUUGCGAAGGCAGCAUACCGGCGCCGAACUGACGCUGAGGCACGAAAGCGUGGGUAUCGAACAGGAUUAGAUACCCGAGUAGUC